AACGUAGGACACAAGCGUUAUCCGGAGUUACUGGGCGUAAAGCGCGUGUAGGCGGCUUUGCAAGUCGGAUGUGAAAUCCCACGGCUCAACCGUGGAAGUGCAUCCGAAACUGCAUCGCUGGAGUCUCGGAGAGGAAGGUGGAAUUCCUAGUGUAGAGGUGAAAUUCGUAGAUAUUAGGAAGAACACCAGUGGCGAAGGCGGCUCACUGGCCCGGUACUGACGCUGAGGCGCGAAAGCGUGGGGAGCAAACAGG
This 253-nucleotide ribosomal RNA is filed under the name uncultured bacterium. RNAcentral's name for it is "partial 16S ribosomal RNA". It matches the Rfam family "Bacterial small subunit ribosomal RNA", at positions 524 to 776 of the family's 1533-position model. The record is from RNAcentral.